Molecule: ribosomal RNA, 506 nt
Filed under: uncultured bacterium
Lineage: Bacteria
Description: partial 16S ribosomal RNA
Rfam family: Bacterial small subunit ribosomal RNA
Source: RNAcentral
GAUGAACGCUAGCUACAGGCUCAACACAUGCAAGUCGAGGGGUAACAAGAGGAAAGCUUGCUUUUCUUGUUGACGACCGGCGCACGGGUGAGUAACGCGUAUCCAACCUGCCUAUAACUAGGGAAUAACCUUGCGAAAGUAAGACUAAUACCCUAUGAUUUCCUUUGAUGACAUCAGAUUAGGAAUAAAGAUUUAUCGGUUAUAGAUGGGGAUGCGUCUGGUUAGCUUGUUGGCGGGGUAACGGCCCACCAAGGCAACGAUCAGUAGGGGUUCUGAGAGGAAGGUCCCCCACAUUGGAACUGAGACACGGUCCAAACUCCUACGGGAGGCAGCAGUGAGGAAUAUUGGUCAAUGGGCGGAAGCCUGAACCAGCCAAGUAGCGUGCAGGAUGACGGCCCCAUGGGUUGUAAACUGCUUUUAUACAGGAAUAAAGUUAGCCACGUGUGGUUAUUUGUAGGUACUGUAUGAAUAAGGACCGGCUAAUUCCGUGCCAGCAGCCGCCGUAA